This 74-nucleotide transfer RNA is filed under the name Dipodomys ordii (Ord's kangaroo rat). It matches the Rfam family "tRNA". Rfam says of the family: Transfer RNA (tRNA) molecules are approximately 80 nucleotides in length. Their secondary structure includes four short double-helical elements and three loops (D, anti-codon, and T loops). The record is from Rfam by way of RNAcentral. Lineage: Eukaryota; Metazoa; Chordata; Mammalia; Rodentia; Heteromyidae.
AGAGAUGAAGCUCAGACAGUAGAGCACUGGCCUAGCAAGCAUGAAGUCCUGAGUUCAAACCCCAGGUACUUCUA